RNAcentral lists this long non-coding RNA (4193 nucleotides) under Mytilus galloprovincialis (Mediterranean mussel). Lineage: Eukaryota; Metazoa; Mollusca; Bivalvia; Mytilida; Mytilidae. The record is from RNAcentral.
GGUUUGGCGAUAUCUGGCCACAGCUUUUAUUCAUAAUAUGAUAGAUUCAUAUAAUAUAUAAUAUAUAUAUAUAUAUAGAUAGAUAGACCAUAGAUGUAUAUGUAUAUGUAGAUAGAUCUAUGGUCGGUUACCCGAAGAUAAUAUGGCAACCAGAUAGAUAGAUAGAUAGAUAUAUAUGAAAAUGUAAAGAUGCACCGUGGGAUACACUGGUGCUUUAAAUUUAGAAAACACCGUGGGAUACACAAGUGUAGUCUGUAUUAUCCAAAAACCUAAAAUUUCAUAGUUAACAUUAAGAUUCUAUGCAGCGAAUUCUGCCAUUUACGGGAAUAUAUUUAUGAUGCUCAAAGUUCAAAUAAAAGUCACUUUUCUCAACAGCAAACAAGUUAACAUCAUCAGUCAAAUCUGUAUCACCACUGUCACCGACACAAACCUGAAAAAUAAAUACAAAAGAGCAGUAUCUUGUUACAAUAAAAAGGAGUGGGAGGGCGGGUUUUCAAGUUUACCGCUUACGAAAUUUAAACAGCUUGCUUGCUGCGAUGAAAUUCUAAAAAGGACUAAAUGACGUCACAGAAUAUAACGUCACUCAUGUUGGGUAAAUCUAAAACAUGAAACACAAUCCGUGAGUGGCCCCGGCGAUAACUGAAUUUAAGUCUAUUAACUUAAAUUCCAUUAUCUCAGAUGGUGCCAUUAAAACAAAAUACAUAUAUGGUUUGGCGAUAUCUGGCCACAGCUUUUAUUCAUAAUAUGAUAGAUUCAUAUAAUAUAUAAUAUAUAAUAUAUAUAGAUAGAUAGAUAGACCAUAGAUGUAUAUGUAUAUGUAGAUAGAUCUAUGGUCGGUUACCCGAAGAUAAUAUGGCAACCAGAUAGAUAGAUAGAUAGAUAUAUAUGAAAAUGUAAAGAUGCACCGUGGGAUACACUGGUGCUUUAAAUUUAGAAAACACCGUGGGAUACACAAGUGUAGUCUGUAUUAUCCAAAAACCUAAAAUUUCAUAGUUAACAUUAAGAUUCUAUGCAGCGAAUUCUGCCACAUUGACGGAGGAAAACAGAGACUCUGUCAACCGCCAUAAAAAGGGCGGUUCGCUGCAAAGCUGUGAACCAGAUAUGAGAUAACUACAGAUAUAUAGAUAGAUAGAUAUUUUUAUUUAACGUACAACUUGGUACUAUAUUAAAUAAUCUAGAUAGAUAGAUAGAUAUUUUAUUUAACGUACAAAUUGGUACAUAUAUAUAUUAAAUAAUCUAGAUAGAUAGAUAGAUAUUUUAUUUAACGUACAACUUGGUACAUAUAUAUGAUCAAUAUUCUAGAUAGCUGGAUAGAUAUUUUUAUUUAAAGUACAACUUGGUACAUAUAUAUAUUAAAUAAUCUAGAUGAUGUUUUGUGAACAACUGUUCAAAACAUAUUUACCUACACAGAUAAAAAUACUUACCAAAACUACAGCAAACCAUAAGAUAGUUGAUUGUAUUUGUAUAUCAUAAAAUAUAGUAUAUUAUAGUAUAUCAACAAAUAAUAUUAAAGAUGUUUAAGAAUUCAUUUCAUAAGCAGGUUAAGGGUGACAAGUGAAAAACAUCCAGUUGAAAAAUUUCUGGUCUGAUCGAAAAUCAUAAUAUUUUAUGUAGCAACCCUGACAGCUAAUUAUAAAGGCAAUAAAUAGUUGUAAAUUCUAUAGCAGCACACGUCCAUGUUUGCAUUGGUCAAAUUUGAGACCAUCCUUACUUAAGAAUGAUGAAUCUCACAAUCCAUCUGAUCAUGUUCUUCAUCUCAUUGUGCAAAGACCCACUCUAGAACUACCUGUGUCAUUACCUGCUACAAGUUUAUUAAAAAUAUGUUGGAUCCUCAUAGUUUCAUUAUAUAUUCUGAGUUAACUUUUAACAUGCGACAAAAUUGCCACCACAAAAAUUCAUUUCCGUGCCUAGACCUAAGUCAACCCCAUCUGGAGGAUGUCAGUCUGCUACAAAAACAUACUUACUAUUGAGGAUUCUACUAUUCAAACAUCAAACAUUAAAUCUAAUAGGAUCUCCUACAAUUCUUGUACGGCAAAUAGCUACAUGGAAGUAUAUGUUACAUAGUAAUACGAAUACAAUUUAAAGCAUAAUAAAUCAAGAAAAAUAAUAAUUCUCUGUAAAACCCUGUAUUAAGUGUCAGUAUUGGAUCUCCAACCCUUUUAAUAAUCGUCCACAAACAAUUGAAAGGACAGCUUCAAAUACACUGAAUUCAUACCAAGUAUAACCAACACAAGAUAAGAAAAUAUUGCUAGACUUCAGCAUGACUAUGGUUGUGGUAAAUGUAAAGGCCUGGAGUGUUUAAUACCUUCUUAAAAACUCAAACCUCAAUUUUGACACAUCAUUAAAUUACUAAAAAAAAAAUAUCCAAUCUUAGUAAAUUAGUAAUGUCACAAUUUUUGUUGAGAGAGAUACAAAAUGUACAAGUAAGCAAUACCUUAACAAUUCAUAAAGAGAUAGGAAAUGUAUUCAAUAAAUCAACUAGAGAACCGAACUCAUGAAAAAAAAGAAAGACUGUCCUCUCUGAUACAUCUGUAUGUACUGGGUGGUGUGGAACUUACAAAUAAACGGUUACUAAAGGUCUGAAAUAACAGUAAUAAAUUCACUUGGGGUAAUAGCAGGAUAAACAUCUGCAGUUUGGACCAAGCAUCUGAAGCAAUCCCUCUAAAAACCAGAAAUGGCUUCAGUCAUAAUGAAAAUUUGGACCAGAUCAGUGAUAAUGAAUGUCAUACUAAACUCUAAUCUAAAAAAAAAAACAAAAAAAAAAAGUUCAUACCAAACUUACAUAGGCCAGAGGCCCCAGACUUGGAACAGAUACUAAAAUGCCGAGGGGUUAAACAAGUUUUUUAAAAUCUCAACCAAAUGAAGAAGAAACAAACGCACAGCAAUACGCAUAGAAAAAAUCACACAGUUUAAAGAAGUCAGAGUCCAAUAUCAGAAUAGGUAACAAAUCAAACAAAAACAAAAAAUUGAAAAUGACGAUAUUACAUAAAUCAACAACGGACUACUAACAGUUACCAACAUGCCAGCUCCAGACCUCAAUUUAACUGGUCGAAAAACUAUGUAUUCAAUAUACGAAAUAUCUAGCACCAUCCCGUCAUGGGGGUUUAAUAUCAUAUCAUCAUAAAAUAUAUUAGAGAAACAUAACUCUUAUCAUACCUGCAACUGGUUUAAAAAUAAAGGAGUUUUAGUCCGAUGCAAAGAUGUGCAAGUGAAUCAAUAUUGAAGCCAAAAUAAGCCGUAUAUAUGCAGGCAACAGUAUCCCUACUUUAUAUAAGUUGCUUUUAUGUUUUGUUAGUUUUUGAGGUAAAAGCUGACAUUUGUCCGUUGUAAAGUGUAUUACCAUAAAAGAUUGGAUGGUCAAUACCUGAAUGUGUAAGAUGUCUAUGUAGAGGGAAAUUCUUAUAAUGUAAACGCCCAUAAAUACAAAGCAAGAAUAACUGGAUCAACUCAGGCAAACGCAAAUUAAAAGAAUGACUAUGAGAACCCUAUACUAGAGUCUAAAUCCAUGUAAGCAGAAACAAACAUUUAGUAUAACAGCAGCAACCACUCGUUCUCUCUCUCGUCUUGGGUUUGAACCAGGUUGCCCAAAAAAACACUUAUUUCCAUUAAAGGACUAGGUGAUUUGAACUUGGAUAUCACAAGAAGGCCUAGAUUAUGCAAAGUAAACAUGGUUAAAGUUACCUGUUAGGACAUCCAAAAGUUAUAAAGGAUGACCCGUGUUACACAAAAAAACAAAACACAAACAAGUGCUUAACAACAUCUAGAUACCCUCAUAAUUUAAAAAGCAUAACAUUUCAAAUAGUCCCAGCGUUCAUGCUAACUGAAAUUCAACCUGUACUAUAAUUUUCAUUAGUAAAUAACAACCAUAAUUUGGAAUCAACUGUUGCCAAGCAACCAGUAGGGCCAAAGAUUUUAUGCAAAUGAAAAGUUCCUCAUAAACUUCCAGCCUAAAAAACAAACUGGCACCUAAACAUACAGCGUACGAUACUCAUAAAUUGCGCAACUCCUAGAAUCUCCCAGGAUGAAGAUUACAAUACAUUCUAGUAUAUAUAUAAAUUAAAGCUGCUGUCGACACCUAAAUACUAAAGAUUUUUAACGGUGGAGCAGACUGCAAAACAAGCUGUAAAUAAUUACUUAGUUUGUACUAGAUUAGCUAAUAUUACAUGUACAUGUACAUACAUGAAUGUAUAUAU